GGAUUCCCCCUAGUACUGCGAGUGAAGCGGGAAGAGCUCAAAUUUGAAAUCUGGCGGUUCUUGACCGUCCGAGUUGUAAUCUAGAGAAGUGCUACCUGUGCUGGACCGUGUACAAGUCUCCUGGAAUGGAGCAUCACAGAGGGUGAGAAUCCCGUCUUUGACACGGACUGCCUGUACGUCAUGGUGCGCUCUCGAAGAGUCGAGUUGUUUGGGAAUGCAGCUCAAAAUGGGUGGUAAAUGCCAUCUAAAGCUAAAUAUUGGCGAGAGACCGAUAGCGAACAAGUACCGUGAGGGAAAGAUGAAAAGAACUUUGGAAAGAGAGUUAAACAGUACGUGAAAUUGCUGAAAGGGAAACGCUUGAAGUCAGUCGCGUCGGCUAGAAAUCAGCCUUGCUUUUGCUUGGUGUACUUUCUUGUUGACGGGUCAGCAUCAAUUUCGACCGUCGGACAAAGUCGUCGGGAAUGUGGCAUCUUCGGAUGUGUUAUAGCCUGGCGUCGCAUACGGUGGUUGGGAUUGAGGAACUCAGCACGCCGCAAGGCCGGGUCUUUUUUGACCACGUCCGUGCUUAGGAUGCUGGCAUAAUGGCUUUAAUCGACCCGUCUUGAAACACGGACCAAGGAGUCUAACAUGCCUGCGAGUGUUUGGGUGGAAAACCCAUGUGCGAAAUGAAAGUGAAAGUUGAGAUCCCCUCUGGGAGAGCAUUGACGCCCGGACCAGACCUUUUGCGAAGGAUCCGCGGUAGAGCAUGUAUGUUGGGACCCGAAAGAUGGUGAACUAUGCCUGAAUAGGGUGAAGCCAGAGGAAACUCUGGUGGAGGCUCGUAGCGAUUCUGACGUGCAAA
RNAcentral lists this ribosomal RNA (841 nucleotides) under uncultured Inocybe. Its description in RNAcentral is "eukaryotic LSU rRNA". It matches the Rfam family "Eukaryotic large subunit ribosomal RNA", at positions 72 to 897 of the family's 3401-position model. The record is from RNAcentral. Lineage: Eukaryota; Fungi; Basidiomycota; Agaricomycetes; Agaricales; Cortinariaceae.